AGUGAACGCUGGCGGUAGGCCUAACACAUGCAAGUCGAACGGCAGCACAGUAAGAGCUUGCUCUUACGGGUGGCGAGUGGCGGACGGGUGAGGAAUACAUCGGAAUCUACUUUUUCGUGGGGGAUAACGUAGGGAAACUUACGCUAAUACCGCAUACGACCUACGGUUGAAAGCAUGGGAUCUUCGGACCUUGCGCGAUUGAAUGAGCCGAUGUCGGAUUAGCUAGUUGGCGGGGUAAAGGCCCACCAAGGCGACGAUCCGUAGCUGGUCUGAGAGGAUGAUCAGCCACACUGGAACUGAGACACGGUCCAGACUCCUACGGGAGGCAGCAGUGGGGAAUAUUGGACAAUGGGCGCAAGCCUGAUCCAGCCAGACCGCGUGGGUGAAGAAGGCCUUCGGGUUGUAAAGCCCUUUUGUUGGGAAAGAAAAGCAGCAGGUUAAUACCCCGCUGUUCUGACGGUACCCAAAGAAUAAGCACCGGCUAACUUCGUG
RNAcentral lists this ribosomal RNA (492 nucleotides) under uncultured bacterium. RNAcentral describes it as "partial 16S ribosomal RNA". It matches the Rfam family "Bacterial small subunit ribosomal RNA", at positions 29 to 507 of the family's 1533-position model. The record is from RNAcentral.